UACGGGGGGGGCAAGCGUUGUUCGGAAUUACUGGGCGUAAAGGGCUCGUAGGCGGCCAACUAAGUCAGACGUGAAAUCCCUAGGCUCAACCUAGGAACUGCGUCUGAUACUGGAUGGCUUGAAUCCGGGAGAGGGAUGCAGAAUUCCAGGUGUAGCGGUGAAAUGCGUAGAUAUCUGGAGGAAUACCGAUGGCGAAGGCAGCAUCCUGGACCGGCAUUGACGCUGAGGAGCGAAAGCCAGGGGAGCAAACGGG
RNAcentral lists this ribosomal RNA (253 nucleotides) under uncultured bacterium. RNAcentral's name for it is "partial 16S ribosomal RNA". It matches the Rfam family "Bacterial small subunit ribosomal RNA", at positions 524 to 776 of the family's 1533-position model. The record is from RNAcentral.